UCCCAGUUAGUACAAUGGUUAGUAUAGGGCACUCUCAGAACCUGAUGGACUUGAACCUUCAGUGCUACUGCUCAGAUCAGGGUUCGAUUCCCUGGCCGGGAA
Molecule: non-coding RNA, 102 nt
Organism: Pseudozyma hubeiensis SY62
Lineage: Eukaryota; Fungi; Basidiomycota; Ustilaginomycetes; Ustilaginales; Ustilaginaceae
Source: Rfam